Molecule: ribosomal RNA, 275 nt
Filed under: uncultured bacterium
Lineage: Bacteria
Description: partial 16S ribosomal RNA
Rfam family: Bacterial small subunit ribosomal RNA
Source: RNAcentral
UGGGGAAUAUUGCACAAUGGGCGCAAGCCUGAUGCAGCCAUGCCGCGUGUGUGAAGAAGGCCUUCGGGUUGUAAAGCACUUUCAGCGAGGAGGAAGGGUAGUGUGUUAAUAGCACAUUGCAUUGACGUUACUCGCAGAAGAAGCACCGGCUAACUCCGUGCCAGCAGCCGCGGUAAUACGGAGGGUGCAAGCGUUAAUCGGAAUUACUGGGCGUAAAGCGCACGCAGGCGGUUUGUUAAGUCAGAUGUGAAAUCCCGCGCUUAACGUGGAACUGC